ACUGAGCCACCCAGUUAUGGUGCCAUGAAUUGGACAAAAUUAAAUUCGUUCUUGGACCCCUGGAGCCUCUCCUCCAGGACCCCAGGUGUACGCUUCUGAAGACUUGGUUUCACUCCUGACUGAUUAGGGAUCCAAUCGUUGUCCUGCAAGCUGAUGCUGGAUGAUGGGUGACCUUUAAGCCUGGAGCUGCUGCUGUGUAGGCCAAUCAGAAGGUUUACGGCAAGAGCCACAUCUUCCUUGCUCUGCUCUAGAAAAUAAGCAUGACCCUGAUAUUAUACCAUCACUGAAGACAUUCAGACUGCAAUCUAGGAAAUCUACCAGAUCACCCCCGUUUCCUCACUUCACCCAAAGAUGCUUCAAGCCCAGCAUCUAGAAAUCUCAACUGGCCACCCUCUGGACUCAGAAACUGGGCUUACAGUCUGCUUCAACCUUAGUCUUUAUUUUUCUUUUUAUUUUCAUAGAAAUUUCUCACAUUUAAUGCCUGAUUAUUUGUACUCUCCAGUAAAUACCCUCUACUCCCAAGUUCUAACAGAUGGUUCAGCUGGUCCUUAAUAACAAAAGGAGACUGAGCAAGAGAUGGACUUAAAAUUGUUCAAAGGAAAGAAGAAUGUCUCUAUUUUCUUGAUUAGGAGGAGUGGCUGACAAAGAUUCUCAGGCCUCAGUCUUGGCUGUGUCCUUCUUUGGCAUGCCCAGUCCAGUUUUAAUAAGAAUCCUGCUAAGUAAGUUUAUCAAGAGUACCCCCAGCAUUGAUAUCUAAUCACCUCCCCUCGCCCCGUGUCUGGUCAAGUCCCUCAUCCCUCACCAUUGAUGUUUAAAUCCAUGCCCAGCCUUUUGCAGGAAUCCUCUUAAAAAAGAAUCCCAGUGCUCUUGAUAUCUCCUGUCAGUAGUUUUCCAUGCACUGACCCCCAACUCUGCAUGCUUGUCUUUUUUGUAUUGGAAGUUGAGUCUGAUCUCUCUUCUGUUGCAAUAGAGUCAGCCCCAAUUGCAACAGUCUUGAAUACAGUCUCCUUUACCAUUUUACAUGUGUCAGAAUAUUUUUUUUCUUUAACAGACACAUCAAGAAAAGGGGGUUCCUUACUUGGUAUACGAGCCACAAGAGACAUUAAAAUCAGCAUCUCCUCUUUAAAGGUCAUUUUGUCCUACCUCCCACAAGUUUUGGAAUCCCUUAGACCUCAACUUGUAACUCAGUACAUCAUCCCUUCCCCUGACUUUUGGCUGCUUAACACAUUUCAUGGUAAUCACUAAUUCAUCACAUGGAACUGAAUAAGAACCAUUUAAUAUGAUUAUCUUCUCCAUUAAAGCUGUCAUCAUAAUUAGAGCUGCAGUGAACUGUUUGCCAGGAAUUAUAAUUUCUGCCAAGAAAAACUUGGGUGUCAUUUUAGAAAAAUUCUUAGGUGGGGGAGGAGGAGAUCAGGACCAUCUGUGUUGGGAUCCAAAGCUAAAUAAUGAGAAAUAAAGCCCCCUUCCCUUGCUAUCUGCCAAACCCUGGCCAGCCCUCCAACCGGACCUUGCCAAAGACUUCAGAGUGAAUCAACUUCCAAGGUAGUCCAAAGAGCACACCCUCUCAGGGAAUGAUAGACUGGAAAAGUCACCCUUUAGGAAGAGAAAAAAGACAGCAGCAAAUAAAAAUUAGGCCUCAUGCGCAAGGCUUCCGAAAAGUUGUUCCAAAUGGUUUUGUUUGCCACCCUACUGUUUCCAGGGCAACCACCUAAGCCAGGACAGAAGUAGAAGGAGACAUGAAGCUAGAAUGGGACCACCCACUGCAAUUCUCAUUUUAUCCUGAUGGCAAGAACCUUUAUAUCGACUCAAAGUGUUUGUCAGGCCUCUUGCUGUGAAUCACUAGAAUAACAUUUUGCCCUGAUGGAAGUGUGUCACAGCCUGCUGCUCCCACAUCCCUCCAUACUGAGGUGUUUUUAAAUGGAACCAAAUAUCCCUGGGGAAUUUUCUCUGUACUACUAGCAUUGCUUUGUUGCACAUUUCUAGAUUACACACUGUAAAUUAUAGAUAAAAUACAUUAUGCUAAUUUCCUUCUGCAUAUCUUUUAGUUAUUUUUAGGAGAAGUGUCUUUGAAAUUCAGCCUUUCAGGUAUAUGUUCAAAAUGAAGAGAAAAAUAAAACCAAGGGAGAGGGAUGCUCAAGACUAAGACUGCAGCCACAUCACAGUCUGGCACUUUGUCCCACGCAUAACUCGUGUCCAGCAAGGAUUUUUAGCUGCAGAAAGGAGAAGAAGCCCUGCCUCAUUAGAUUUGGGUAUGUCGUCCGGUUCUGCAAGUUUCUGGCCAUGCGACUUUGGAGGAAUUUAGGUUGUUUCUUUAAGUCUGAGUUUCGUCAUCUAUGAAAUAAGAAAUGUUCAUCAAGAUUUCCAAGGUGACUUCCACUUCUCACACUGUACGACAGUACGCGUGGACCAGAGUAAAAUGCCCUCAAAUCACAUAGAGCAGAUUAUAUUGAGCAUCUUUAAAAAGAAACAAUCUACUCAACCUGUGAACAUUAAAAAAUUCAGUAGCUCUGAAACUCUCUGAACCCACAAUCUUCAUGAUCUUUUACUGCACUCGGUGUUGCCAAUUUUUUUUCUGCUGUGCUGGACAUCUCUCAUUUGGAUGGACUUUCCUCAGAUAGACUCUCCAUUGUUCACCACCAUGGAAGGUUGUCUUGUGAGGGCUACAACACAGGCUCUUGUCGCCUGACUUCCAGGCAGAUUCAGUGAAUGGGCAGGAAAAUGGAAGGUGGGCAGAGUGUGAGGUUGUCCCCUCCCCGAUCCCCGCCUGUGAGGUUGCUGUGUGCUAGCUUCAUGCCUCAACCAAAGGUCGCAGCUCCUGGAAGACAUCUUCUCUACGUAACUCCUAGUCUGUUUGGGCUGCAGUAACAAAAUGGCAUAGACUAGGUGGCUUAUAAGCAAAAGAAACUUAUUUCUUCCAGGUCUGGGGGUGGAAGUCUGGGAUUAGGGCGCUGACAGAUUUGGUGUUGGGUGAGAACCCACUCCCUGGCUGUAGAAUGCUGACUUCUUGCCAUACCCUUAUGUGAUGGAAAAGGGCAAGAGAGCUCUCUGGGAUCUCUUUUAUAAGGGCACCAGUUCCAUUCCUGAGGGCUUUGCCCUCAUGACCUAAUUGCUUCCCAAAGGCCUCAUCCUCUAAUAUCUUCAUAUUGGGCAUUAGAAUUUCAACACUGUUAAUUUGGGGGAACCACAAACAUUCAGUCUAUAACAGACUCUUUCCUCUUGCUACUUCAGGUCUAGGGGCAGUGCAUAACCCUGUGGUUCUCUAUGCUCUGUGCAUAUCUUUAAAAAUUGGUCUUUUUCAAGUUUGAAUGAACUAUCUGUUGCCGUCCAGUGUCUUGACUGAUAAACUCAGUUUUUUGAGAUGCAAGUAUUACAAGAUUGGAAAGGCCAUGGUACUUUUUAUUUCAGUGUAUUAAUUCACCUUGAAUACAUAUUUUUCCCCCUAUAGUUGUGACUCUAUGAAAAGAUGAGAAUCUCUAUGUAGUGCUGCUUGGUUAUGUUGUACUUGACUUCUAUAUGUGCUUGUAUUAGAUAGGAGUCAGAAGCAGGUAAUAGGGGCCAGUCUAGUAAUUAAACAGAAAAGGAUUGGAUGCAAGGAAUUGGAUGUUCACAAUUAGAAGGGCUAGAGGAAUAGGCUCUAGGCUAGGCUUUAAGGAAUGACUUCCAGAAGACUACCACAGAGCUGACCUGUCUCUACAACAUUCUGGAAGCUGGGGAAUCAAGAAACCCAUGUGUCACCUGCCACCUUCAAUGUCUUACUACCUCUGCCAAUUCAGGAAUCAGAAAGUGGUAGCCUUAGUUGUUGGCCCCAAACCUUAUUUACCUGAUUUGCACCAUCAGGAUGAAGGCCUACCUUCCCUCCUACUUGAUUUAGUUCUAAAUUCAGUUUUCACGUAAGUACACAUAAUUGGUGGAGGCUCAGUCAUAUUCCUAGUUGCAAAUGAGUACAGGAAAUGUCAGUUUUAGCUUUCUGGCCUCUAUAAUAUGGGAAGGCAUAGUAGAAGGAGAUUGGGAUGAGUUCUAAGCAAGUCAGUCUAUUCUCCAUCACAAGAUUAUUUCUGAAAGCAUGCUUUAAAUACCAUGUCCCCCAAAAACGUGAGCUUUGGAGAUUAAGAAAACAGAGAGACUAGAAUGAAAACCUCUGCUUCAGGACUUACUGGCUGUAUGACCGUGGGCAGUAUGUACUUAAUACUACUAGGGCUAUUUUUCAUCUGUGCAAUAGGAAUAAUAAUGCCUACCUCCCAGAAUUGCCAUUCAUUAAUCCAUCUCUAUAUACAGAUUUUUGUUGAUUGUUAUAUAAUUAUCAGGAAUUUUUAGUUGGAAAUGACAAAUCUUAAUUGAUUGGUUAAGUGAAAAAAAAAUUUUGUU
This is a long non-coding RNA of Mustela erminea (ermine), 4365 nucleotides long. RefSeq lists it as uncharacterized. The record is from RefSeq and is a predicted model, not a curated record. NCBI's taxonomy places the organism in Eukaryota, Metazoa, Chordata, Mammalia, Carnivora, Mustelidae. The transcript has 3 exons.